GAUCAAAAGUAUACAUAGAUUUAGGAACACUGUGUAGCAAUAUUCUCUUGUGCUGAGCUGGAUCUUAUUUUUUGUCUGGGCCAGGAGUCCUGUGCAAAUUGAUUUAAAAGGCCUAGUUGUAGGAUGUGGAUUGUAGGAUGAUGCUGAGCUGGCAGUGCUCUUGCUCUGAAAAAGGCAGAUGGGAUGCCGAUGCAUCAGGUAUUACAAAUGCAGAUAAAAAAGUAUUGAUGUCACUGCAAACACUGCUACUCUGAAACAGAGAAAGAGAUGUGAUUCAAAUCUUCUGUAUUGAAAAAGAUUAAUUGAAACUGUACUGGAAGCAGAGACAUGUUGCCUCUAAAAUGGCAGAAGAGAAUGACCGGAUGUUUGUCUCAAGUAGCUGUGGAAUGGAUGAUGUGAUUCUAAUUUCUAGGGAAAAAAAUUGAUGAAAAAAAUUAGAUAAGCCUAAAUAAAAUAUUGGCUUAAGAUAAAAUGUACACAGGUCAUUGAUAAAAUUUGGUUUAGAGUCUAAAAGGUGUUCCUGAGUGUUACAGCCAGUAGAUUCUGGGAUAAAAGGAGUGUUCAGUGGAGGAAGGAAUCAGACUGGAUUUGGUAGCUUUGCGAUAGGUCUGUGGUGGAGAUUCGGGGCUGUUGGACCCCAAGGAGCUUUCGGAGUGUAUUUUUAAGCAGUUAGUGCCCUCUAGUGAGAGUCUUAGGUAAUAAUCUUGGUCCUGGUUUUGUAGUAUGUUAACAACUCUUAACAGUACUUUGGUGUGUUACCGAAAUGAAAGAAGCUUUGGUAUUAAAAAUGCAGGAGGAUGAGUGUAUGAAGAAAGAUCCUAUGAAUGCAAGUCAUCAAGUGGUUUGUAUUGGGAGGGAUCUUUAAAGGUUUAUUAUAAGUGUAACCACCUUCUCAUGUGGAUUGUGUCCUAAAAUCUUAGGUACUUCUUUAGACGAUCACUCAAGUUUUUGCAGUUCAGUGUAAAGCAGAAGAUGUCAGCAAACUUGUGAUUUCAGUCUUGACAACUGAAGAAGCACUGCAUUACAUACCUGUGGAACCAAGUGGCAGGAUUAGAAGUACCAAACUCGUGGCAAAGUUACAAAACCCCACUGGAAAAAAAUCCUGGAGAUGAUAAAACAGAUGAAGAGAUGGAGGGGACACAUUCAGAGGAUGAAAUGUUUGCUCAGAGAGGCCUUCGCAGAACUCAGAGUAUGAAGUCUGUGAAAACUAUUAAAGGCUGUAAAGAAGCAAGUAUAA
Non-coding RNA from Cyanistes caeruleus (blue tit), 1237 nucleotides. The record is from RefSeq and is a predicted model, not a curated record. Lineage: Eukaryota; Metazoa; Chordata; Aves; Passeriformes; Paridae.